RNAcentral lists this ribosomal RNA (706 nucleotides) under Streptococcus mutans. Its description in RNAcentral is "bacterial SSU rRNA". It matches the Rfam family "Bacterial small subunit ribosomal RNA", at positions 383 to 1078 of the family's 1533-position model. Lineage: Bacteria; Bacillati; Bacillota; Bacilli; Lactobacillales; Streptococcaceae. The record is from RNAcentral.
CUGACCGAGCAACGCCGCGUUGAGUGAAGAAGGUUUUCGGAUCGUAAAGCUCUGUUGUAAGUCAAGAACGUGUGUGAGAGUGGAAAGUUCACACAGUGACGGUAGCUUACCAGAAAGGGACGGCUAACUACGUGCCAGCAGCCGCGGUAAUACGUAGGUCCCGAGCGUUGUCCGGAUUUAUUGGGCGUAAAGGGAGCGCAGGCGGUCAGGAAAGUCUGGAGUAAAAGGCUAUGGCUCAACCAUAGUGUGCUCUGGAAACUGUCUGACUUGAGUGCAGAAGGGGAGAGUGGAAUUCCAUGUGUAGCGGUGAAAUGCGUAGAUAUAUGGAGGAACACCAGUGGCGAAAGCGGCUCUCUGGUCUGUCACUGACGCUGAGGCUCGAAAGCGUGGGUAGCGAACAGGAUUAGAUACCCUGGUAGUCCACGCCGUAAACGAUGAGUGCUAGGUGUUAGGCCCUUUCCGGGGCUUAGUGCCGGAGCUAACGCAAUAAGCACUCCGCCUGGGGAGUACGACCGCAAGGUUGAAACUCAAAGGAAUUGACGGGGGCCCGCACAAGCGGUGGAGCAUGUGGUUUAAUUCGAAGCAACGCGAAGAACCUUACCAGGUCUUGACAUCCCGAUGCUAUUCUUAGAGAUAGGAAGUUACUUCGGUACAUCGGAGACAGGUGGUGCAUGGGUUGUCGUCAGCUCGUGUCGUGAGAUGUUGG